UUUGAUGGUUGGUACCCGAAGUCUCAAAUUCGAAUCCUAGUUGAUUCAUAUUUUCAGCUAAAUUUAUUUCUAAAUGAAAUAAACGAAACAGGUAGCAGGCUACCUAUCUCUCGUAAUUUGAGGACCAAAAGUGUAAUUGACCCUAAUAUAUAUUAUAUUAUGUUAUAAUAAUUUUAAUCAUUUAAUCCUCAUAUUAUUAGUCAUUUACUAAUACUUAUAUCAUUAUUAAUUAGUUACUAUUAUAAAAAUUGUUUAUUUAAUUUAAUUUAACUAUUAAAAUAGUUUAUUUAAAUUAUUUUAAUAAAUAAUUUAACUAAUUAAUUAUAUAGAAAUAUAUACAUUAAUAAUAAUUUAUUACUAAAUUACUUUAUCC
Molecule: long non-coding RNA, 373 nt
Filed under: Ananas comosus (pineapple)
Lineage: Eukaryota; Viridiplantae; Streptophyta; Magnoliopsida; Poales; Bromeliaceae
Description: long non-coding RNA (ACOM_LNC007664)
Source: RNAcentral